This 505-nucleotide ribosomal RNA is filed under the name uncultured Glomus. Its description in RNAcentral is "SSU rRNA". It matches the Rfam family "Eukaryotic small subunit ribosomal RNA", at positions 569 to 1078 of the family's 1831-position model. Lineage: Eukaryota; Fungi; Glomeromycota; Glomeromycetes; Glomerales; Glomeraceae. The record is from RNAcentral.
AGCAGCCGCGGUAAUUCCAGCUCCAAUAGCGUAUAUUAAAGUUGUUGCAGUUAAAAAGCUCGUAGUUGAAUUUCGGGGUUAGUAGGUUGGUCAUGCCUCUGGUAUGUACUGGUCUCACUGAUUCCUCCUUCCUGAUGAACCUUAAUGCCAUUUAUUUGGUGUUUUGGGGAAUUUGGACUGUUACUUUGAAAAAAUUAGAGUGUUUAAAGCAAGCUAACGCUUGAAUACAUUAGCAUGGAAUAAUGAAAUAGGACGUUCGAUCCUAUUUUGUUGGUUUCUAGGAUUGACGUAAUGAUUAAUAGGGAUAGUUGGGGGCAUUAGUAUUCAAUUGUCAGAGGUGAAAUUCUUGGAUUUAUUGAAGACUAACUACUGCGAAAGCAUUUGCCAAGGAUGUUUUCAUUAAUCAAGAACGAAAGUUAGGGGAUCGAAGACGAUCAGAUACCGUCGUAGUCUUAACCAUAAACUAUGCCGACUAGGGAUCGGAUGAUGUUAAUUUAAUGACUCA